RNAcentral lists this long non-coding RNA (3896 nucleotides) under Cottoperca gobio. RNAcentral's name for it is "lncRNA (ENSCGOG00000005531.1)". Lineage: Eukaryota; Metazoa; Chordata; Actinopteri; Perciformes; Bovichtidae. The record is from RNAcentral.
UUAAAUAUAACUUUGUUAGUUUACAGAAAACAACAUAAAGUCAACAAAUGCCGCAGCUUCAUUCUGAAACAUGCAGUGAUUGACACCUUUUAUGUUACAGAGCAUCCGACAUUUAAAGCCAUCUGAAGCCACCACCUUGGAGACACCUGCUCACACUUCUCAGCGUGUGUUCAACAUGUGGAAAUAAUUUACAUCACACAACACUUCAUCAAUCUUCCCCACCGGAUAAAACCUGGCAGCGAUGCAGGCUGAUCAUCAGGUGACCAGCAGCACUUCUCUCCAGAUCCCUCCCAAGCUUGAGACUGUCCUGGUCCAGGCCAUCAUCAAUCCUAAGCGAGGUAUGGAGGGACCCCUCCAGACACCACAGCCCCCCAGGACCUGCAGCUCUCCCGGAGCUGCUGGGAAACCAUGCUGGAGCUUGGAUGCGAGGGUGGCCGUGUUUCUGGUGACUCUGGGUGGAGCUUUAAUCCUGUUGCUGCUGUACAAACUCUUACAGCUGAGACACAGGCUGAAGUUGACCCAGGCGAGGCACGCGCUAGAGUACUACAGCUUCUACCACAGCGCCACCUACACACUCAAACAUGCUACGUCGUGUCAGGCCCUACAAGCCAAAAGUGAGUUGGUCCCUGAAGCUACACCACCUGUACAAACCGUAACCCUGGUGAAACCUACGGUCGUCGCUCAACUUCCGCCCCCACCGGUGCCUUCUCCACCUCCGAUGCCACUCCCCCCACCUCCUGCCCUGCCGACACCACUGCUCCAUACUCCAUCUUCUCUCACUCCAACACCUUCUGUCCUGGCCUUCCCUCUCCCCCUAUCUGUGAUCCACACCACCCCGCCAAGCCCUCACCUGUCAUGGGGCGCCUGCUCAGAUGCAGAUGUGUACUCUCGGAUCGGUGCGUUCAGGCCCUCCAGGCUCUCCAGCCUCUCAAACCAUUCAAAAGUCAUCCUAUUUGAACACUCGUCUGUCUGACCUCUAUCGCAGAACUAGGUUGGAGAUUUCAACUUAUGAGAAAACUGUAGUGAUUACCCAAAACACAUUCUUCUGUUGCAUUAAUAAUUAUCUCAGGGGGUGAUUAAGUGCCCAGUGUACUGUAUAAGUAUGCAGUAUACUGUGCACUUAGUAUUUGAAGUUGAAAUACUUUCACGGCCCUCCAAAACGUCAAAGAUUUAGUUUGAGUUUUGUGCGACACUGAACUGAUUUGUGUACUUAUCCUUUAACAAGUACCAUACUUUGUGCCAGACCUCUGCAAAUUGCAGAUUGCAGUUUGGAGCAAAAAAUCUGUUAUUAUGUUUUGUUGCGUUGAAGAGAGGGGUUGUCUCUAAAUUCAGACUGGUGGAAGUUAAGAGAACCUUCUCUCUUUGUAACGCACUGCUGCCAAAUAUAUUUACUGUGAGAGAGUCCUGAAGUCUGCUUUGUCUGCAUAUUGUAGUGGAGCCCAUUGUUUCCCAAAUUGGGAGGCAUUUCCGUAGCCGGUUUUCCAUGGCAGGGUCCCUCCCUGUUUCACACCAUUCUCUAUAUUCUCAGUGUUUCCUCUCUCUCUCUCUCUCUCUCUCUCUCUCUCUCUCGAGAGAGAGAUCGAGAGAGGAAGAGAUCUGUUCAGGGAGCUGGAGAAGUCGCAUCAUUUCGAUCCUCUCCUAUCUACGCAUCAUAUAGAGAGAGUUAGAACUUUUCUGUCUCUCUCUCUCUCACUCCCUCUCCCUCUCUCUCUGCCUUUCUCUCUCUAUCUCUCUCUAUCUCUAUCUCUCUCUCUCUCUCUCUCCCUGUCUGUCUCCUCUCUCUCUCACUCUCUCUCUCUCUCUCUCUCUCUCUCCCUGUCUGUCUCUCUCUCUCACUCUCUCUCUCUCUCUCUCUCUCUCUCUCUCUCUCUUCUCUCUCUCUCUCUCUCUCUCUCUCUCUCUCUCUCUCUUUAGCAAUCUUACUUUAUUCAAACAAAUGUCACAAUUUUAGUCAUGCAUUUUAAUUGCUUAAUUUGUCUUUAUAACACAUUCAAAAUCUCAGUACAAUUAGUACAGGUGAAACUAUUGAAUAAUAUGUUCCUUUGUGACCAGACUAAGACUUUGGAGAUGAUCACAGAUUGAUUUCUUAAGUAGCCCUGUCGACACACUAAUAACAGUUUGUCGUUGAUAUGGUAGCCUGAGCAUUCAUCUUGACCCUAACAAGCUGUUAACAUGAAUUUUCUUUUAAUAUUUAACCUUGUUUUCCCAACAGGCCUCUCAUUUAUAAUUCAACAAUAGUUGAGGGAAGCUGUUUAAGUUGCUUGUUUGUUACUUGCUGCUUGCCGGGGUGAAAACUGAGACCUUUUGUGACAUUCCCCCUUAGUCUUUUCUGUAUUAAGCUAGUGAGGCUGUCUCCAUACUAAAAGCCAGUUAAUUCAAUCUGAGUAUGUACAGCUGUGUUGUCUCUUAAUUGGUUGAAAGCCGAGUAGGGAAGACAAUUGUAACAAUACACUGCUACUACAAUUAAAUAUAAUGAGGGAGCGUUAUGCAAGGAUAAAUAUGAAUGUGUUCUGGAUCUGAUUAACAUUAAUUGAAUGUUUUCAUCUCAAAAUAUGAUUUAUCGUAUUUUAGAAUGCUCAUAGAAAUUCUUCAUACAGCAAUAAAAUAUAUCUGAGAUGAUGUGUGAUACUGGGGCAGGAUCAGCAAAGAAAUGGAGAAAUAAAUUGAAUUGAAACAACUGGUGGUCCAUCCCCACUGAAGCCACCACCUGCUCUCCUUCCUGUGAAGUAGUCUACAAGCUUCGGGAAGUGAGGCAGAGGGAUGGUGGCGUGUGCUAGCUUCAAUGCCCCAUAUCGCUAUUUUCCAAAUUACUGUAGCUGUCAUAUUUCAUGAGGUGCCACUGUAAAACUUAUACAACGGAAAAACUGACUCUCGAGACGUACGUUGGUGGAUAAAACAAAGCUAGCUAACCCUUUGGCUAAUGUUGAAUGCAGCUAACUUUAGCAAAUAAAAUCUUAAUACCAAAAAGCUCAACCUCCUGAAGUCCAGCUUUGUGUCCCCAGAUAGAAGGCGAGUCCUCACAAUGUCAUAUGUUUGUCCCCACAACAUGGCUAGCAGUAUUAACUAUUAAAUACAAAAAGGAAACAAAUACAGAUGUUUCAUUUAUUGCCUGCAGGUGGCACUAGCGUAAAACAAUUGUAGAGGCUAUUAAUUACUGUCAUCCUGUGAGUGGCAUCAUCUGCGACAAUGUGUAAAUCUGGAAAUGCACGUGUUUGAUAUAGCUGAGCUUGGUUUCACAUUAACUAAUCUGUGUGUCCUUGCUUCUGAAAUUAAUGUAAACAGUUUUGUGUGGAACAGACUUGACUGAUAAUUGACACUGCUGGUUCACAAAAUGACUUUCUGUAAAUGACUGUUUGUCCUAGAAGCCAUUGACUCAAAGUGCAGAAUCUUGGUAAUUGCGUCUGUCCUCUUCUCAUUUUCUCAUCUCUGCAGCUCUGAGAGGAAAUGGUCAUUGUUCCAAUUGCCCUCAGUGUCGUCACCUCUGCAUGAUACCAAAACAGCUCCUUUACUCGAAAUAUUCAAGAGACGGGACGAGGAAAAACAAAGAAAUGUUUUUCACUGACAAAACUGAUCUUAACAGUCAAGUAGCCAGCCAUUAUGUUUUACAUUUCAUCAUAAAUUCUAUAAAUACAUUUGUGCACUAAUUAUUUAACAUGUUUAAAAUGUACCACAACCAGAGCAAAAGUGAGUUUAGUGAAGUUAUAACUAUAUUUCUAUCAUCAUAUCAAAGAAUAUAUAAUUAUAAUUAUAAAAUAAAACUAAUUUUGUGAUCAUUAUUUCACAUAAACAUGUUUUUUGUCUACUUGUUGUCUUGCUAAAAUCAACAUAAUGUACAUUUCCACAGGACUUCUCAGUAUAGAGUCAUGUUAUACUCACCACUCUGCUGCUUUCUCUGU